RNAcentral lists this ribosomal RNA (430 nucleotides) under uncultured Chlorobiota bacterium. RNAcentral describes it as "bacterial SSU rRNA". It matches the Rfam family "Bacterial small subunit ribosomal RNA", at positions 373 to 795 of the family's 1533-position model. The record is from RNAcentral. Lineage: Bacteria; Pseudomonadati; Chlorobiota.
GGGCGAAAGGGUGNCCCAGCAACGCCGCGUGGAGGAAGAANNCCGUAAGGUUGUAAACUCNUUUUAGUGGGGAUGAAAAUUUNUGUUUCGCAAGGGGCAGAACUUGACCGUACCCACAGAAAAAGCCCCGGCUAACUACGUGCCAGCAGCCGCGGUAAUACGUAGGGGGCAAGCGUUUUCCGGAUUUNGGGGGUGUAAAGGGCGCGCAGGGGGAUGUGUUAGUCAGGGGAGAAAUCCUGGGGCUCAACCGUAGAACUGCCUGUGAUACUGCAGAUCUUGAGUUGGGGAGAGGGGAGNGGAAUUCCAGGUGUAGUGGUGAAAUGCGUAGAUAUGGGGAAGAACACCAGUGGCGAAGGCGGCUUUUUGGUCCGCAAGAGACGCUGAGGCGAGAAAGCGUGGGGAGCACACAGGAUUAGAUCCCCUGGUAGUC